CCUACGGGUGGCAGCAGUGGGGAAUCUUCCGCAAUGGGCGAAAGCCUGACGGAGCAACGCCGCGUGAUCGAUUGAAGGCCUUCGGGUUGUAAACAUCUUUUGUCAGGGACUAAUGAGCAAUGCGAAUAGCUUUUUGUAUGACGUUUCCUGUUUAGAAAGCUCCGGCUAACUACGUGCCAGCAGCCGCGGUCAUACGGAGGGAGCAUGCUUUGUCCGGAAUUACUGGGCGUAAAGGGAGCGUAGGUGGGUGCUUAAGUCAGGUGUGAAAGCUCCGGGCUCAACCUGGAGACUGCAAUUGAGACUGGGUGUCUUGAGGGCAGGAGAGGAAAGCGGAAUGCGUGGUGUAGCGGUGAAAUGCGUAGAUAUUAGGAAGAACACCAGUGGCGAAGGCGGCUUUCUGGACUGCACCUGACGCUGAGGCGCGAAAGCGUGGGUAGCGAACGGGAUUAGAUACCCGUGUAGUC
Molecule: ribosomal RNA, 464 nt
Filed under: uncultured bacterium
Lineage: Bacteria
Description: partial 16S ribosomal RNA
Rfam family: Bacterial small subunit ribosomal RNA
Source: RNAcentral